GGGAAUGUGGCUUAGUGGUAUAGUGCUUGCCUAGCAUGCAAAAAGUCUUGGGUUCCAUUCCUCAGUACCA
This 70-nucleotide transfer RNA is filed under the name Dipodomys ordii (Ord's kangaroo rat). It matches the Rfam family "tRNA". Rfam says of the family: Transfer RNA (tRNA) molecules are approximately 80 nucleotides in length. Their secondary structure includes four short double-helical elements and three loops (D, anti-codon, and T loops). The record is from Rfam by way of RNAcentral. Lineage: Eukaryota; Metazoa; Chordata; Mammalia; Rodentia; Heteromyidae.